RNAcentral lists this long non-coding RNA (425 nucleotides) under Helianthus annuus (common sunflower). RNAcentral's name for it is "sRNA HanXRQr2_Chr01g0024771". Lineage: Eukaryota; Viridiplantae; Streptophyta; Magnoliopsida; Asterales; Asteraceae. The record is from RNAcentral.
CCAGGUUCAUCUUCUUUGUAAACAAUUUAUACUCUAAUACAUCGUUUCGACCUCCGAUAAACCAUCAAAUCUUAAACUAAGGUUGCAUCGGUUGGCUCUUAGUUGUGAAUUAUGAGUUCCGUUGUGAAAUCAGAGGAGGAAUGGAGUGCAGUUCUUUCUCCUGAACAAUUUCGCAUCCUUCGAAACAAAGGAACCGAGUGAUAUCAAAUAAGAGAAUGUGUUUGUUGCUUUUUGGAAUUGGCUUUAUCUUGCUAACUUUGCAUCCUUUGAACCAACAUGGCAACAUACAUCCCUCAUGAUCCAUCUGAUUUUUUUUCUUUGAUACCAAAGGAAUGAGAUGCAAUUAUCUUGCACACGAGUAAAUUUGUAUUUCUUAAAUGUUGUUGCUUCUUUAAGUUAAUUUUAUUAAUUUUGUAUUUGCCUUA